CUGGCUCAGGACGAACGCUAGCGGCAGGCCUAAUACAUGCAAGUCGAACGGUAAGGUCUCUUCGGGGAUACACGAGUGGCGGACGGGUGCGUAACGCGUAUGCAACCUACCCUUUAGAGGGGGAUAGCCAGUGGAGACUGCGAAUAAUACCCCAUGUGUUCAUUGGUUGGCAUCAACUGAUGAAGAAAGUUCCGGCGCUUUAGGAUGGGCAUGCGUCCCAUUAGCUAGUUGGUAAGGUAACGGCUUACCAAGGCAACGAUGGGUAGCUGGUCUGAGAGGAUGAUCAGCCACACGGGCACUGAGACACGGGCCCGACUCCUACGGGAGGCAGCAGUAAGGAAUAUUGGUCAAUGGGGGCAACCCUGAACCAGCCAUGCCGCGUGGAGGAAGAAGGCCCUCUGGGUCGUAAACUGCUUUUCUGGGGGGAUAACAAUGUUCUAUACGAACAGAUGCAGGUACUACAUGAAUAAGCACCGGCUAACUACGUGCCAGCAGCCGCGGUAAUACGUAGGGUGCAAGCGUUGUCCGGAUUUAUUGGGUUUAAAGGGUGCGCAGGCGGCCUGUUAAGUUAGUGGUGAAAUCGUACGGCUCAGCCGGAUACCCGCCAUGGAUACUGGCAGACUUGAGUAUGUCUGAGGGAAUUGGAAUGCGUGGUGUAGCGGUGAAAUGCAUAGAUAUCACGCAGAACACCGAUUGCGAAGGCAGAAUUCUAUGUCAUAACUGACGCUGAGGCACGAAAGCGUGGGUAGCGAACAGGAUUAGAUACCCUGGUAGUCCACGUAGUCGAUGAUCACUAGGUGUUCGGGCUAUUGCAGUCUGAGUGCCCAAGCGAAAGCGAUAAGUGAUCCACCUGGGGAGUACGUCGGCAACGAUGAAACUCAAAGGAAUUGACGGGGGCCCGCACAAGCGGUGGAGCAUGUGGUUUAAUUCGAUGAUACGCGAGGAACCUUACCUGGACUAGAAUGCCCUUGACAGCCUGUGAAAGCAGGUUUUCCUUCGGGACAAGGUGCAAGGUGCUGCAUGGUUGUCGUCAGCUCGUGCCGUGAGGUGUUGGGUUAAGUCCCGCAACGAGCGCAACCCCUAUCUUUAGUUACCAGCGAGUUAAGUCGGGGACCUAAAGAGACUGCCUGCGCAAGCAGUGAGGAAGGUGGGGACGACGUCAAAUCAUCAUGGCCCUUACGUCCAGGGCUACACACGUGCUACAAUGGAUGGUACAACGGGUUGCGAACCUGCGAAGGUAAGCUAAUCUCUAAAAGCCAUUCUCAGUUCGGAUUGGAGUCUGCAACUCGACUCCAUGAAGCCGGAAUCGCUAGUAAUCGCGUAUCAGCUACGACGCGGUGAAUACGUUCCCGGGCCUUGUACACACCGCCCGUCAAGCCAUGGAAGCCGGGGGUACCUGACGUCGGUGGUCUAACCUCGCCUAGGGCGAAACUGUACUGGGGCUAAGUCGU
RNAcentral lists this ribosomal RNA (1451 nucleotides) under uncultured prokaryote. RNAcentral's name for it is "partial 16S ribosomal RNA". It matches the Rfam family "Bacterial small subunit ribosomal RNA". The record is from RNAcentral.